RNAcentral lists this unclassified non-coding RNA (339 nucleotides) under soil metagenome. RNAcentral's name for it is "partial contains 5.8S ribosomal RNA, internal transcribed spacer 2, and large subunit ribosomal RNA". The stretch from base 1 to 120 matches the Rfam family "5.8S ribosomal RNA", at positions 35 to 154 of the family's 154-position model. The record is from RNAcentral.
GAUGAAGAACGUAGCGAAAUGCGAUAAGUAGUGUGAAUUGCAGAAUUCAGUGAAUCAUCGAAUCUUUGAACGCACAUUGCGCCCCUCGGUCUUCCGUGGGGCAUGCCUGUUCGAGCGUCAUUUAACCCCUCAAGCCUAGCUUGGUAUUGGGUGCUUGUCCCGCCUCUCGCGCGGCGACUCACCUCAAAGUCAUUGGCAGCCCGCAUCUCGCCGGCCGUGAGCGCAGCACAGACGCGCUCUUGGCAACGACGGAUCGGCUCUCCAAAAGCUUAUUUCAACCACUGACCUCGGAUCAGGUAGGGAUACCCGCUGAACUUAAGCAUAUCAAUAAGCGGAGGA